AUGCUGCUGUUGGUUGUGUUCAGAUCUAAGCAAGCUUUCAUAGUUAACAAUGUGAUGACAUCACCAUCGCCUUCACACACCAGCAAGAACAUGUCUGCUGCAUCCACAUUUAAAUCCCUAAUUGCCUUGUAAAUUAGCCACUGUUUCCAAGAGCUAAGUUAUCCUUUCAAGGAUAUUUCCAUGCUUGUACUAUCUACUCUAAUGAAUAUAAUAGAAAGAAACAUUGCUCAACACUCUGAAAUAUCAGCCUGAAAAGAAAAAGAUUUACUACAAAAGAUAAUUACUUUAGAAGGACCUAAAACAAUACAAUGCUGUCAAAUCAGAUACAAAUUAAUCAACUACUAGGGACUGAAUGUAUCAGAAACACAAGAUUACCUCCCCAUUAUCUUUAAACACCUAUACGUUACAUCAUUCUAAAUAAAAUCGGAAGUGAAAUCCUGAGUUUGUGUGUAAGUACAAGUCAGAGAGCUACAGUUGGCAUGUGGACCCAUGCCUAAAUUUGAUUCUGUAUUCUUUGAUAUGCCAAGUAACAGCUAGUCUCCUGCACGUUACUACGGCAUGCUAAACACAACGCACUACACGGGACAAGGACAAGUAGCAGCAGUGAGAUGUAAAGAGUAAGCCUGGUAGAGUGUUUAUGAUGCUGAUCUUUUUUUAAUAACUAGGAUAUAAGAUAUCAAAACCUAUAUUUGAAAUAGUGAUCAUGUUAUAAACCAAGAAUGAGGGUUAGCCUAAUUAUGUGACCCACAUACAUUAAAAAGGAAACUAAACUUUGUGGGACAUAUUAUGUUAAAUAUGACUCAAAAAUAUUAUUUUACAAUUUGCAAACAAAACUUUUAUAUGUCCAUUGGAUCCUUGUCCAAAACCAAAAAUUAAAGAAAACCAUUCUUAGUUUUCCCUUCGAUUCUGUCUUCUCACGGAGCCCAGCACACAGCUAUCAGUUGAUAAGCAGCUAGAGAGAUGAAUUCUUAUUUUUUAUAGUGACAGGUUCCAGAAAUGCACAUACUUAGUUGCCAUCUUCUUGCACUGAUAGUCUGCAAGUAAGUAAAUGUCUCCCCUUGUGGUGACACAGACUGUGGCACCAUCACUUGCAGCUACCAAAGACACAGCGAUAUCCUUGUGAUGAAGGGCAGAGACUUGGCGAGGGGUUGUGACACACUUUUCACCAUUGGGAUCCAGUAAGUGACCUAAAAAUUUACACAAGUAAGCAAACCGUCACAUACCUAUUCUAAGAUCAUACUGUAGCAUUUGAAUAUUGCCAUGAAAUAUUUCUUACCCAACUGUCCACCAUUCAGUCCCAGUGUGUAAACGGCUUCUCGAGUCCACAGCACCGUAUGAAACCUGCCCGCUGCUACUCCAAUGAUAGUCCUUCCUUUCAGAUAUUUUGCCUGUAUCUAUUUAAAAUGACAAGUAAGACUGUAGUUGACUACAUAUUUAAAAUCUAGUGCAGGUUUCUCUAAGAUACAAGUACACCCUCCUCACUGCUACUGCCUUAGCAACUGCUAACGUCUCAUGUCAUCACUCAUGACAAGUCACAAAUCUCAGAACACAGUGAUGCAGCCACUUCCGGACAUCAGCAGUGCAAGUUGUUAAUGAUGGAGUUUUCUUUUAAUAGAUGAUAAACACACUAGAUGUCUUCUUAUAAACAGAGAAAAAAACAAAUCAGACUUUCCUGGUACGUAAUAAGUAAUAAACUAAGUUUUUUUUCAAUUACCACCAAAUUUUAGUAACAUAAAAACUAACAUUCUAAACCAAAGUAACAUUAUAUAAAACCCAGAUCAUCAAAAUUUUAGCAAUAAUAAGCAAUAUAUAAAACAACCAUUCUUUAAAAACUGGUGAUUUUUAAAUCUGAAAUAUCCAGGGUCUCACAAUGGUAAGAAGCUUGACAGUCUGGCCCAGAUGACUUUCCUCCAUGAGGGAAUGUCUUAUGCAUAUCUGGACUCUACCCAACAGAGCUGUCACUGGCCUCUCCAUCCCACUCCUGCUUAAACUGUCUUCAAACGGUCAUGCGACCCCUGCCUAGGAAAUCAAAGCUGGUUAUCAACUCAGGCUCUUACGGUGGCCAUAACUCCACAAAGUUAAAUACCCACACGUUGACAGUAAGUUAGAGAACACAGAUCUUUUUGAAAAUAUCCAACUAGACACUCCCCACAAAUCUCCUGCAGUAAUACUACUGAUCCAUUAGCAAUCCAGAAGAGAAAAGAGGAAGACUUCCAUACUUAACUAAGAAUGUCAAUUCAAUAGUAAUUCUAGAAACAGGAUUGAACUAAAAAGGAAUUUCGCAUGUAAGACUUCAAGUGUGGUGUCCUGAAACUAUCUGCCAUAGGUGACAAAUCUAACACUUUCAUUUGGGGGACUCGGCGUUCAUCUGAGUAGUCCAAGGACAAGGCUGCUAUAUCUGGGGAAUGGGCACCUUCUGAUGGUGGUCAUGGGCUGGAGUGGUGGCCUGAACCACACACCCUCGGGUAAGCAGGUGAGACACCUGAGUAGACACACAGGUAAAUAAGCAAAGGCUUUUCUUCUUUUUCUUGUAUUUAUUUAUUUAUUUGUAGUACCUUGCUUGUUCAGGUAUAAUUAUAUUGAUAGAUUUCAAAAAAAUAACCAUUUAAGUUUCAAACUAUAAAAAUCCAGGGCUGAGGGUAAACUUAGGUAGUAAAAAUCUUGUCUAGCUUGUAAGAAUCUUGAUUUCAAUCCCUAGAACC
Molecule: long non-coding RNA, 2702 nt
Filed under: Mus musculus (house mouse)
Lineage: Eukaryota; Metazoa; Chordata; Mammalia; Rodentia; Muridae
Description: long non-coding RNA chr9:85727399-85730101
Source: RNAcentral